GAUGAAGAACGUAGCGAAAUGCGAUAAGUAAUGUGAAUUGCAGAAUUCAGUGAAUCAUCGAAUCUUUGAACGCACCUUGCGCUCCUUGGUAUCCCGAGGAGCAUGCCUGUUUGAGUGUCAUGAAAUUCUCAACCUUUUCAGCUUUCUUUGUUGAUCAGGCUUGGAUGUGGGAGUAUGCGGGCUUCUCAGAAGUCGGCUCUCCUGAAAUGCAUUAGCGGGACCUUUGUUGCCUGGCUUUGGUGUGAUAAUUAUCUACGCCAUUGUAGUCAAGCAGCUUAAAAUGAGGUUUCAGCUUCUAACCGUCUCCCCUGAGACAACUUUUUGACAAUUUGACCUCAAAUCAGGUAGGACUACCCGCUGAACUUAAGCAUAUCAAUAAGCGGAGGA
RNAcentral lists this unclassified non-coding RNA (387 nucleotides) under soil metagenome. RNAcentral describes it as "partial contains 5.8S ribosomal RNA, internal transcribed spacer 2, and large subunit ribosomal RNA". The stretch from base 1 to 120 matches the Rfam family "5.8S ribosomal RNA", at positions 35 to 154 of the family's 154-position model. The record is from RNAcentral.